AUUCCAGCUCCAAUAGCGUAUAUUAAUGUUGUUGCAGUUAAAAAGCUCGUAGUUGGAUUCCUGGCCUGGGGUAGCCGGUCCGCCUUGCAAAAGGUGCGCACUGAGCGGCCUCGGCCAUCCUUGGGAAGAGCAGUCCUGGCAUUCAGUUGUCGGGGCUGGGAUUCCCGACGUUUACUGUGAAAAAAUCAGAGUGUUCAACGCAGGCUUACGCCUUGAAUACAUUAGCAUGGGAUAAUGAGAUAGGACCUUGGCGGUCUAUUUUGUUGGUUUGCACGCCGAGGUAAUGAUUAAAAGGGACGGUUGGGGUUCUUCGUAUUCAAUUGUCAGAGGUGAAAUUCUUGGAUUUAUGGAAGACGAGCUGCUGCGAAAGCGUCGAACAAGGACGUUCUCAUCA
Molecule: ribosomal RNA, 394 nt
Filed under: Pelagophyceae sp.
Lineage: Eukaryota; Pelagophyceae
Description: partial small subunit ribosomal RNA
Rfam family: Eukaryotic small subunit ribosomal RNA
Source: RNAcentral